GCCGGGGUGGCAGAGCGGUUAUUGCGCCGGUCUUGAAAACCGGUGCCCUUCGGGGCACAGGAGUUCGAAUCUCCUCCCCGGCG
This 83-nucleotide transfer RNA is filed under the name Candidatus Micrarchaeota archaeon CG1_02_60_51. RNAcentral describes it as "tRNA-Ser". It matches the Rfam family "tRNA". From Rfam's summary of the family: Transfer RNA (tRNA) molecules are approximately 80 nucleotides in length. Their secondary structure includes four short double-helical elements and three loops (D, anti-codon, and T loops). Further hydrogen bonds mediate the characteristic L-shaped molecular structure. tRNAs have two regions of fundamental functional importance: the anti-codon, which is responsible for specific mRNA codon recognition, and the 3' end, to which the tRNAs corresponding amino acid is attached (by aminoacyl-tRNA synthetases). tRNAs cope with the degeneracy of the genetic code in two manners: having more than one tRNA (with a specific anti-codon) for a particular amino acid; and 'wobble' base-pairing, i.e. permitting non-standard base-pairing at the 3rd anti-codon position. The record is from RNAcentral. RNAcentral also lists the same sequence under 4 other names. Lineage: Archaea; Nanobdellati; Microcaldota.